Long non-coding RNA from Tympanuchus pallidicinctus (lesser prairie-chicken), 468 nucleotides. RefSeq lists it as uncharacterized. NCBI's taxonomy places the organism in Eukaryota, Metazoa, Chordata, Aves, Galliformes, Phasianidae. The transcript is spliced from 3 exons. The record is from RefSeq and is a predicted model, not a curated record.
AUUUAAUCCUGCCUUGGGGGGAAAUUUGCUUCAGAGCUAGACUUCAGUCUUGCUGGAGGAAUGGUAGCUGAAAAGAGAAGAAGGCAGCUCUAAAAAUUGCUUCUCAGAACCUGCAUAAAUUUGUUGGAUUUUGAGAUAUGACAGAAUGAAAAGUCUGCAGGAGUUGUGGUUUGUCCACAAAAAGCAGGAUGGGCAGGUGCAAGGACUUCUGAGAUAUCUCUGAACUGUUAACUGCAUUGCGCCUAGAAGGCCAGCUUCUGUUCUCCAUCACAGCCCUCAACUGAAAGCAGCUGAAAUUACACAGAGUGAUGUUUGCUCUCUUAAUUCUUGUUGUUGGUGAUCAAUGAAGAAGGCACAAUUUAAUUUCCAGAUCCUACCAGACAUGGACAGGGUUGGCUAUUAGAAAACAUGCUUAUUUUACAAGAACCCACUGAAAAAUGGAAACUCUUGCAUGUGGAGAAAAACAAA